GCACAACGCGAAGAACCUUACCCACCUUUGACAUGUACGGAAUCCUUUAGAGAUAGAGGAGUGCUCGAAAGAGAGCCGUAACACAGGUGCUGCAUGGCUGUCGUCAGCUCGUGUCGUGAGAUGUUGGGUUAGGUCCCGCAACGAGCGCAACCCUUGCCAUUAGUUGCUACGAAAGGGCACUCUAAUGGGACUGCCGGUGACAAACCGGAGGAAGGUGGGGAUGGACGUCAAGUCCUCAUGGCCCUUAUAGGUGGGGCUAGGAAACGUCAUACAAUGGCCGGUACAAAGGGUUGCCAACCCGCGAGGGGGAGCUAAUCCCAUAAAGCCAGUCGUAGUCCGGAUCGCAGUCUGCAACUCGACUACAUGAAGCUGGAAUCGCUAGUAAUCGCGAAUCAGAAUGUCGCGGUGAAUACGUU
RNAcentral lists this ribosomal RNA (416 nucleotides) under uncultured bacterium. RNAcentral describes it as "bacterial SSU rRNA". It matches the Rfam family "Bacterial small subunit ribosomal RNA", at positions 954 to 1372 of the family's 1533-position model. The record is from RNAcentral.